This is a long non-coding RNA of Lycium ferocissimum, 556 nucleotides long. RefSeq lists it as uncharacterized. The record is from RefSeq and is a predicted model, not a curated record. NCBI's taxonomy places the organism in Eukaryota, Viridiplantae, Streptophyta, Magnoliopsida, Solanales, Solanaceae. The transcript is spliced from 2 exons.
CGACUGCUGAUCCACCAUCUGUCAUCAUCGCCGCUACCAAUCACCGGGGUACAUAUAUAUAACUAAAUAUUCCCUUAUGUAUCUAUAGUUGUAAUAUUUGUUUUUAUAGCUACUUUGAUUCAAAAGCUAAUCCAAAAUUUUAUUUUCCCCUCUUUUGGAACCGUUACCACUUGUUCUGUUGAUCAUUUUAUUUCCAAGUCUUUUUAUAUUUUAAAUAAGCAAAAAAAAAAAAAAAGCGUAUAAUUGUCAAUAUAUUUUCAUUAUUCAUUAUUUCCUGGUUCUUUUUUUCAUAGCAUUGACUUGGUGGGUAUAAACCAACAAAACCAAAGACUUUUGGGUCCUAAAAAAAGAAAGAAAUAUUUUACAAUCCAACUUAUUGUUAUGAAACAACCCACCCAACCAACCACGCACCCACUGUAUUUAAGCUGACCGAAAGUCCAUUUUUCUCCUUCCGUUUCAUACUCGAUAAAAUCGUACAUCACAAUAUUCCGAUCGCGUGGUCUCUUCUGAAGUUGGAUAAAAGCUGACAUGUGACUGCAUCACAGAACAAUUCAAA